Molecule: ribosomal RNA, 712 nt
Filed under: uncultured bacterium
Lineage: Bacteria
Description: bacterial SSU rRNA
Rfam family: Bacterial small subunit ribosomal RNA
Source: RNAcentral
AGCGGCGAACGGGUGAGUAACACGUGGGUGAUCUGCCCUGCACUUCGGGAUAAGCCUGGGAAACUGGGUCUAAUACCGGAUAUGACCUCCUAUCGCAUGGUGGGUGGUGGAAAGAUUUAUCGGUGCAGGAUGGGCCCGCGGCCUAUCAGCUUGUUGGUGGGGUAAUGGCCUACCAAGGCGACGACGGGUAGCCGACCUGAGAGGGUGACCGGCCACACUGGGACUGAGACACGGCCCAGACUCCUACGGGAGGCAGCAGUGGGGAAUAUUGCACAAUGGGCGAAAGCCUGAUGCAGCGACGCCGCGUGAGGGAUGACGGCCUUCGGGUUGUAAACCUCUUUCAGCAGGGACGAAGCGCAAGUGACGGUACCUGCAGAAGAAGCACCGGCUAACUACGUGCCAGCAGCCGCGGUAAUACGUAGGGUGCAAGCGUUGUCCGGAAUUACUGGGCGUAAAGAGUUCGUAGGCGGUUUGUCGCGUCGUUUGUGAAAACCAGCAGCUCAACUGCUGGCUUGCAGGCGAUACGGGCAGACUUGAGUACUGCAGGGGAGACUGGAAUUCCUGGUGUAGCGGUGAAAUGCGCAGAUAUCAGGAGGAACACCGGUGGCGAAGGCGGGUCUCUGGGCAGUAACUGACGCUGAGGAACGAAAGCGUGGGUAGCGAACAGGAUUAGAUACCCUGGUAGUCCACGCCGUAAACGGUGGGCGCUAGG